This 253-nucleotide ribosomal RNA is filed under the name uncultured bacterium. RNAcentral describes it as "partial 16S ribosomal RNA". It matches the Rfam family "Bacterial small subunit ribosomal RNA", at positions 524 to 776 of the family's 1533-position model. The record is from RNAcentral.
UACGUAGGGGGCAAGCGUUGUCCGGAUUUAUUGGGCGUAAAGAGCGUGUAGGCGGCCAUGUAGGUCCGUUGUGAAAACUCGAGGCUCAACCUCGAGACGCCGAUGGAAACCAUGUGGCUAGAGUCCGGAAGAGGAGAGUGGAAUUCCUGGUGUAGCGGUGAAAUGCGCAGAUAUCAGGAAGAACACCCGUGGCUAAGGCGGCUCUCUAGUACGGUACUGACGCUGAGACGCGAAAGCGUGGGGAGCAAACCGG